GUGCUCGCUUCGGCAGCACAUAUACUAAAAUUGGAAUGAUACAGAGAAGAUUAGCAUGGCCCUUGCACAAGGAUGAUAUGCAAAUGUCAUCCUUGCAUGUCAUAUUU
This 107-nucleotide small nuclear RNA is filed under the name Sorex araneus (European shrew). Lineage: Eukaryota; Metazoa; Chordata; Mammalia; Eulipotyphla; Soricidae. The record is from RNAcentral.